Long non-coding RNA from Diabrotica virgifera virgifera (western corn rootworm), 771 nucleotides. RefSeq lists it as uncharacterized. The transcript has 2 exons. Lineage: Eukaryota; Metazoa; Arthropoda; Insecta; Coleoptera; Chrysomelidae. The record is from RefSeq and is a predicted model, not a curated record.
UAUAUAGGUACAAGCCUGUUUUUAUUUGUAGAGCAUUUUCGUAACAUUUGUAAUUUAAUUCUAAUUAUAUAAUUGAUAAAAAACCUAUAAUGACAUCAGAAUUUACUUUAAAAACAUUCUUUAUGUUGUUGAUAUUAAUUUGGAAACUAAAAUAGAUAAUAUUUUCAACCCAUUUAUCACUUAAAUCAUUAGCUAAAUAUCAAAUUCAAGUAUAAACAUAAAAAUCAUACAAAAAACAAAAAUCAGUGUGCUCACACGGUAUUAUAUUGUGAGUACAACAAAAAUGUUAAACAGCAAUUGCAAAACAAAUGUCGGAUGGGGAAUAAGCAAUACAUACAAUGUGGAUGCAGUUUACAUAAAAAAUUUUACAUAUGCCAGCUGUGAAAAACAAAAUUGUUUCUGGCAUAUAUCAAAAAAGGAAGUAAAAUAGGAGUACGACCGUUAUAAAAACUAACUUACUUCAGUUUUUUGUUCAAAAAGGGAUCUUUCUUAUCUUCAUCGUCGAUGGUGGGUAAACACAACGAGGAUAAACCUACUUAAGACUGCAGCUAUCUUCAAGACCACAACGGCUACUUGAACACCUUCAAAUGGCAAACAUCUAAGACCUAUUCACAUCAUCUGGAGCCAACAACAUCCACCUUCAUCCUCCACAGCAAGCAAGUCAACAGUGCCAUAAGUAUCAUUUUAUUGUAAAGCUAUAGGCAGGAUUUGCUUGUAUAUUUAAGUAUCAUUUCAUUAUAUUUUUUAUCCUAAAUAAAUAUGAUUAGUUAA